AUCAAACAGCUCCUCCCAUAUGACAUGUAUCAAACAGCUCCUCCCAUAUGACAUGUAUCAAACAGCUCCUCCCAUAUGACAUGUAUGCUCAUUCUAGGGUGGUGGUGGGGGGGUGUUGGUGGUUUAAUCCAUAUGACAUGUAUGCUCAUUCUAGGGUGGUGGUGGUGGUGGGGGGGUCGUAUUGGUUUAACCCAUAUGACAGGUAUGCUCAUACUAGGGUAGUGGUGGUGGUGGUGGGGGGUCGUAUUGGUUUAACCCAUAUGACAUGUAUGCUCAUUCUAGGGUGGUGGUGGUGGUGGGGGGGGGUCGUAUUGGUUUAACCCAUAUGACAUGUAUGCUCAUUCUAGGGUGGUGGUGGUGGUGGUGGGGGGGGUCGUAUUGGUUUAAUCCAUGUGUUUCUUCCUACAUCUUUGUAAAGACAACGUAAUAUUCACAUUUGGUCUUCAGCUUUCAGUGGAGGUCCACUGCUUUGAACUCCCUCACUUUUUCUCAGUCAUUUCCCAACAGAUUGAAAUAAAAGGGUUUUAAACUCGGGAUUCUCCAGAAACUUCUAGGACUGUUGUUUCGUAAUCCAGGGCCCGUAUCCACAAAGCGUCUCAGGAGUAGAAAAUGUGUCGUAAGUGCUGAGAAGAGACAUUUUACUCCUACUCUUACGGGUAAAAUAAAAAAAAAUAAAAGCUAGGCAUUAAACCUAAACUAGUUGACAGAUAUUUAAGAGACCUCAUGAUCUGACCUCACCAGUUAAGAGUUACCAGCAGGUGUCUUGAUCAUAAAAAUAAAAAAAGGCCUGCAACACUGUUAAAUAAUAUGCCUAAGUAAUAUUGGGCCACUGAAGGUAUUUCGGGCCUAUGUUAACUUUGAUUGGGUGUUGAAAAUGAUAGGUUUUAAUGCAACAUUAUCAGUAAAAGACGUGAUGCCUACAGUAACGUACAAAAUACAUUUAGAAUAAUCAUCCAGGAGUUCAGAGUGUUAGCGACCAUAUUAUAAAACUUACGCUUUAAAAAAACUAAAAAACAUCAGAAUUGGUAAAAAAAAAAAAAGGUUAUGCAUGCCAACAUAUUAGGCAAUAAUUAGGAGUUAGGCAAAGUGAUCGUGUCAGACAAAUUAUAUCAAGUGUUUUACCAUUGCAACAUUUGAUGUACGGUCACGUUCAUCUGGGUGUCUGAAAACGUGCUAUACAGUUCACAGCUGGCCAUGCCUCUUCGUGAUUGGUUAUUUCCAAUAAUUUACAACGAUGAGUGUCAUCACCAUCAUUCCUUUGCGGUACCUCAAACUGUCGUGACGACCAGCUGAGAUGAACCUUUUUAGGAGUUGAUGUUACUCCUGGUUCAGUGUUUGUCUGGUCAGUGUCUUAACAUCAUAAAACCUACUGUGAGCUGGGGGGCUUUUUUUGGGUCUUAAAAACAGGAUUUAACAGGAUUCCUAGACCCCUUUGAGACACUAUGUGGAUAUGUCCCCUGGUCAGAGGAGAUAUUUCAACUAAUCCCAGUUAAUUCUCUCCUUGACUCUUGAUGAAGACAACACUGCAUUACUGGGCUACAGGGCUAGGACUGAUAGUGCACACCUAGUCCCAGGAACGACCUCUAAGGUCAGGUCAGAGGUCAGGUAAAUUCGGACGAAAAACAAGCAGACUGCAGUUCUCCAGGACUAGAAUAGGGCCACUCCAGAUGGUUGAAGUCAGUUCUCUCGCUCUCUCCCAUCUCUAUCUAACAGAGUUCCCUGCCCUCUCCCUCCUGCCUUGCUUCUUCAGUAGCUGGAUACGGUUGUGGCAGUAGAACUUGAUGGCUCUCCAGUCACGCUGGUUGCUGACCAGCAGGGGACAGAGCUGCAGGCAGCGCUCGCAGUCCGCCUUGGCUGGCACGCGCUGCUCCAUGAUGUUCCUCUUCAGGUGCGUCUCCACGGCGAUGCGCUCCGCCUCCGACCAGGGCCGUUUCAGCACCCCACGCUUCCCUGGGAACACAGGACAGAGUCAUGAACAUCAAUUUCCCAAUUCCAAAUCCAUACCCACUGAGUACCUAACCCCUAAAACACUUGUGUAUACUGUAUAUUCAUGAAACAUUGUUUUGAUCUCCUUACAUAUUUUUGUAUAGUUUUGUUUAUACAAGUACAGGUUGGGAUAUAGAGAGAGGAGCACAAAAAGUAGACAGAGUCACCUGACCCGGGGCUCGAACCCCAGUGGCCUGAGGAGCCAUGUGUCCGGCACACUUGAGUAGAUCUGAAAGGACUCGAUAACUGCGAGGAAGUUAUCGAUUGGCUUGUUGAAUCCCUCAAUUUUCCAACAUGUCUGACGCUGGCCUGGCACUGGCUUGCAUGGAUGUAGCGCAAUAUUGGGUAUUAAAGAGGCUAUUGUUCGAAACACAUUCACCCAGAUAGGUAUGAAUAGGUGAUACAUUUGGUAGAAGAAAUAAGACUGUACAUACCGGACUUGGGUUGAAUGAUCCUCCUCUUAUGGGCACCAGGGAGCGAGGGGUUGACCGGGGAGGGAGCGGGGGCUUUAUUCUUGCUGGGGGGUUGACCUGGUUGCUUCUUCACCUCCCCCACCUUCUCCUUCUCCUCCACCUUCUCCUUAACCUUCUCUUUAACCUUCUCCUUAACCUUCUCCUUAACCUUCUCUGCCUCCACGUCCGAGUCGUCUGAGAAGGAGUCCGCAGAGUUUCCUGACAUCACUGUUGGGUAGGGAUAGAAGACGGAAUGAGAGCGUUGGGAAGGGAUAGAAGACAGAGAGAGCGUUGGGGAGGGAUAGAAGAUGGAGAGAGCAUGUUGGGUAGGGAUAGAAGAUGGAGAGAGCACGUUGGGUAGGGAUAGAAGAUGGAGAGAGCAUGUUGGGUAGGGAUAGAAGACGGAGAGAGCACGUUGGGGAGGGAUAGAAGACAGAGAGAGCGUUGGGAAGGGAUAGAAGACGGAGAGAGAGCGUUGGGGAGGGAUAGAAGACAGAGAGAGAGCGUUGGGUAGGGAUAGAAGACGGAGAGAGCGCGUUGGGGAGGGAUAGAAGACAGAGAGAGCGUUGGGAAGGGGGAUAGAAGAGCGUUGGGAAGGGAUAGAAGACAGAGAGAGCGUUGGGUAGGGAUAGAAGACAGAGAGAGCGUUGGGAAGGGAUA
Long non-coding RNA from Oncorhynchus tshawytscha (Chinook salmon), 3098 nucleotides. NCBI's taxonomy places the organism in Eukaryota, Metazoa, Chordata, Actinopteri, Salmoniformes, Salmonidae. The record is from Ensembl.